RNAcentral lists this ribosomal RNA (445 nucleotides) under uncultured bacterium. RNAcentral's name for it is "partial 16S ribosomal RNA". It matches the Rfam family "Bacterial small subunit ribosomal RNA", at positions 354 to 796 of the family's 1533-position model. The record is from RNAcentral.
GUGAGGAAUAUUGCGCAAUGGAGGCAACUCUGACGCAGCCAUGCCGCGUGCAGGAAGAAGGCGCUACGCGUUAUAAACUGCUUUUAACCGGGAAGAAACCCCAGGACGUGUCCUGGGUUGACGGUACCGGAGGAAUAAGCACCGGCUAACUUCGUGCCAGCAGCCGCGGUAAUACGAAGGGUGCAAGCGUUAUCCGGAUUCAUUGGGUUUAAAGGGUGCGUAGGCGGAGCGUUAAGUCAGUGGUGAAAUCCUGCAGCUUAACUGUAGACUUGCCAUUGAUACUGGCGCUCUUGAGUGCGCUUGAAGUGGGCGGAAUGUGCCGUGUAGCGGUGAAAUGCUUAGAUAUGGCACAGAACACCAAUUGCGAAGGCAGCUCACUAAGGCGAUACUGACGCUGAGGCACGAAAGCGUGGGGAUCGAACAGGAUUAGAAACCCUUGUAGUCC